Molecule: ribosomal RNA, 692 nt
Filed under: Pygmarrhopalites sp. A10 AK-2018
Lineage: Eukaryota; Metazoa; Arthropoda; Collembola; Symphypleona; Arrhopalitidae
Description: partial 28S ribosomal RNA
Rfam family: Eukaryotic large subunit ribosomal RNA
Source: RNAcentral
AAUGGUAUUCUAGGUUUAAGGUAAUUGCAAAUCCUUGUGGUUUGAAUCCUUAAUACCAAAUACUUUUGCGGUUGUUGAGAAGCGAACAGGCACUUGUUGCGGUCAAAUAUAAUGACGAGUCGUGUUUAUACGAGUUGUGGACGGGUAACCGUAGCACUUUGUAUGAACUGGUUGUCAGUCAUUGUAUAUUGGCUCUGUUCAGAAUUGCAAUCUAAAGCAUGCGUGGUCUGCCUGUCCCGUCUUGAAACACGGACCAAGGAGUCUAACAUGUACGCAAGUCAUUGAGAAUUAAUAAACUCAAAGGCAAAAUGAAAGUGAAGACUUGCAUUAGUAAGUUGAGGAGAGAUCAAGGCAUUACUUGAAAUUCUGAAAAGAUUGAGCUUGUAGUAUGUAUGCGCAUCUCCUGGACGUCUAUACCUCUGAAGGUUGGGCGUACCUAGAGCGUACACGUUGGGACCCGAAAGAUGGUGAACUAUGCCUGGUCAGAACGAAGUCAGGGGAAACUCUGAUGGAGGUUCGUAGCGAUUCUGACGUGCAAAUCGAUCGUCGGAACUGGGUAUAGGGGCGAAAGACUAAUCGAACCAUCUAGUAGCUGGUUCCCUCCGAAGUUUCCCUCAGGAUAGCUGGCACUUGUACCAGUCUCAUCCGGUAAAGCGAAUGAUUAGAGGCCUUGGGGCCGAAACGACCUCAAC